GUGGGGAAUAUUGGACAAUGGGCGAAAGCCUGAUCCAGCCAUGCCGCGUGUGUGAAGAAGGUCUUCGGAUUGUAAAGCACUUUAAGUUGGGAGGAAGGGCAGUAAGUUAAUACCUUGCUGUUUUGACGUUACCGACAGAAUAAGCACCGGCUAACUUCGUGCCAGCAGCCGCGGUAAUACGAAGGGUGCAAGCGUUAAUCGGAAUUACUGGGCGUAAAGCGCGCGUAGGUGGUUUUGUAAGUUGGAGGUGAAAUCCCCGGGCUCAACCUGGGAACUGCAUCCAAAACUGCAUGACUAGAGUACGGUAGAGGGUAGUGGAAUUUCCUGGGUAGCGGUGAAAUGCGUAGAUAUAGGAAGGAACACCAGUGGCGAAGGCGACUACCUGGACUGAUACUGACACUGAGGUGCGAAAGCGUGGGGAGCAAACAGGAUUAGAAACCCCGGUAGUCC
This 450-nucleotide ribosomal RNA is filed under the name uncultured bacterium. Its description in RNAcentral is "partial 16S ribosomal RNA". It matches the Rfam family "Bacterial small subunit ribosomal RNA", at positions 354 to 796 of the family's 1533-position model. The record is from RNAcentral.